This 266-nucleotide ribosomal RNA is filed under the name uncultured bacterium. Its description in RNAcentral is "partial 16S ribosomal RNA". It matches the Rfam family "Bacterial small subunit ribosomal RNA", at positions 334 to 617 of the family's 1533-position model. The record is from RNAcentral.
UUUGCCUACGGGACGCAGCAGUGGGGAAUAUUGCACCAUGGGGGAAACCCUGAUGCAGCGACGCCGCGUGAGUGAAGAAGUAAUUCGUUAUGUAAAGCUCUCUCAGCAGGGAAGAAAAUGACGGUACCUGAGUAAGAAGCCCCGGCUAACUACGUGCCAGCAGCCGCGGUAAUACGUAGGGGGCAAGCGUUAUCCGGAUUUACUGGGUGUAAAGGGAGCGUAGACGGCAGUGCAAGUCUGGAGUGAAAGGCGGGGGCUCAACCCAC